This 300-nucleotide ribosomal RNA is filed under the name uncultured Methanoregula sp. Its description in RNAcentral is "bacterial SSU rRNA". It matches the Rfam family "Bacterial small subunit ribosomal RNA", at positions 496 to 795 of the family's 1533-position model. The record is from RNAcentral. Lineage: Archaea; Methanobacteriati; Methanobacteriota; Methanomicrobia; Methanomicrobiales; Methanoregulaceae.
GGUCACUAGUGGACAGCAGUGGCGUGAGUACCGGGUGGUCAAGAGUUAAUCGGAUUGGUGGGGCGCAGAGGUGGUGUAGGUGGUUGGGAAAGUCAAUUGUGAACGCCCCGGUCUUAACUCGGGAACUGCGUUUGUUACUGUCGGACUAAAAUGCGGUAGAGGGAGGCGAAACUCCAGGUGUAGCGGUGAAAUGCGUAGAUAUCUGGAAGAACACCAAUGGCGAAGGCAACCUCCUGGGCCUGAAUUGACACUGAGACACGAAAGCGUGGGGAUCAAACAGGAUUAGAUACCCCGGUAGUC